Molecule: ribosomal RNA, 774 nt
Filed under: unidentified
Description: bacterial SSU rRNA
Rfam family: Bacterial small subunit ribosomal RNA
Source: RNAcentral
GUGGUGGAUUAGUGGCGAACCGGUGAGUAACACGUGAGUAACCUGCCCCUGACUCUGGGAUAAGCGUUGGAAACGACGUCUAAUACUGGAUAUGACUGCCGGCCGCAUGGUCUGGUGGUGGAAAGAUUUUUUGGUUGGGGAUGGACUCGCGGCCUAUCAGCUUGUUGGUGAGGUAAUGGCUCACCAAGGCGACGACGGGUAGCCGGCCUGAGAGGGUGACCGGCCACACUGGGACUGAGACACGGCCCAGACUCCUACGGGAGGCAGCAGUGGGGAAUAUUGCACAAUGGGCGAAAGCCUGAUGCAGCAACGCCGCGUGAGGGAUGACGGCCUUCGGGUUGUAAACCUCUUUUAGUAGGGAAGAAGCGUAAGUGACGGUACCUGCAGAAAAAGCACCGGCUAACUACGUGCCAGCAGCCGCGGUAAUACGUAGGGUGCAAGCGUUGUCCGGAAUUAUUGGGCGUAAAGAGCUCGUAGGCGGUUUGUCGCGUCUGCUGUGAAAUCCCGAGGCUCAACCUCGGGCUUGCAGUGGGUACGGGCAGACUAGAGUGCGGUAGGGGAGAUUGGAAUUCCUGGUGUAGCGGUGGAAUGCGCAGAUAUCAGGAGGAACACCGAUGGCGAAGGCAGAUCUCUGGGCCGUAACUGACGCUGAGGAGCGAAAGCGUGGGGAGCGAACAGGAUUAGAUACCCUGGUAGUCCACGCCGUAAACGUUGGGCGCUAGAUGUAGGGACCUUUCCACGGUUUCUGUGUCGUAGCUAACGCAUUAAGCGCCC